RNAcentral lists this ribosomal RNA (488 nucleotides) under uncultured bacterium. Its description in RNAcentral is "partial 16S ribosomal RNA". It matches the Rfam family "Bacterial small subunit ribosomal RNA", at positions 28 to 507 of the family's 1533-position model. The record is from RNAcentral.
GACGAACGCUGGCGGCGUGCUUAACACAUGCAAGUCGAACGGAAAGGCACUGCUUUUGUGGGGUGCUCGAGUGGCGAACGGGUGAGUAACACGUGAGUAACCUGCCCUUGACUUUGGGAUAACUUCAGGAAACUGGGGCUACUACCGGAUAGGAGCUCCUGCUGCAUGGUGGGGGUUGGAAAGUUUCGGCGGUUGGGGAUGGACUGGCGGCUUAUCCGCUUGUUGGUGGGGUAGAGGAUUACCAAGGCGAUGAUCGGUAGCUGGCCUGAGAGGGGGAUCGGCCACACUGGAACUGAGACACGGUCCAGACUCCUAAGGGAGGCAGCAGUGGGGAAUAUUGGACAAUGGGCGCAAGGCUGAUCCAGCCAUACCGCGUGGGUGAAGAAGGCCUUCGGGUUGUAAAGCCGUUUUGUUGGGAAAGAAAAGCAGCAGGUUAAUACCCCGCUGUUCUGACGGUACCCAAAGAAUAAGCACCGGCUAACUUCGUG